RNAcentral lists this ribosomal RNA (253 nucleotides) under uncultured bacterium. RNAcentral's name for it is "partial 16S ribosomal RNA". It matches the Rfam family "Bacterial small subunit ribosomal RNA", at positions 524 to 776 of the family's 1533-position model. The record is from RNAcentral.
UACGAAGGGUGCAAACGUUGCUCGGAAUUAUUGGGCGUAAAGCGCACGUAGGCGGCAUUGCAAGUCCUAUGUGAAAGCCCACGGCUUAACCGUGGAAGUGCAUGGGAAACUGCAGUGCUUGAGUACUUAAGAGGAUCGCGGAAUUCCCGGUGUAGAGGUGAAAUUCGUAGAUAUCGGGAGGAACACCAGUGGCGAAGGCGGCGAUCUGGGAAGAUACUGACGCUGAGGUGCGAAAGCGUGGGGAGCAAACAGG